RNAcentral lists this long non-coding RNA (1721 nucleotides) under Gossypium barbadense (sea-island cotton). RNAcentral's name for it is "long non-coding RNA (GBAR_LNC005683)". The stretch from base 663 to 806 matches the Rfam family "MIR7502 microRNA precursor family". Lineage: Eukaryota; Viridiplantae; Streptophyta; Magnoliopsida; Malvales; Malvaceae. The record is from RNAcentral.
GUGUUAGGACCCAUAUUGUGUGCCAUCGUGUGUGUUUUUGUGAAGUUCGAUGGUCCAGUGACUAGCCGGAACAUGUUAGCUGUUCUGGCCUGGGUCUUCUCUUGGUGGCUCACUGAGGCCGUGCCGAUGCCAAUCACCUCCAUGGCACCUCUCUUUUUGUUUCCCCUCUUUGGAAUUUCUUCUGCAGAUAGUGUUGCCCACUCGUAUAUGGAUGAUGUGAUUACCCUGGUUCUGGGUAGUUUUAUACUUGUUCUUGCUGUUGAGCGCUACAACAUUCAUAGAAGAUUGGCCUUAAAUGUGAGUUUCCCUUAUCGAUUUUACUCGUUUCAACUGUAUUUUUCUCCCUCAAGUUGAUUCCUUCUUGUUAGAAAAUUGACAUAGCUGACAGUAAUCCAUAGAACACAUGAAGUUUAUAGCAGCUUCUUUGUGUUUGGAUCGAUUUUGGACUCAAAUUCAAAGUAGAUUAUUAAAAGAUUAUACUAUUUGUUGAAGCAAUUAAAAGGAAAUUUUGCUCAAAUGCUAUCACAAAAAGGGUUUUCUUUUUUGGCAAAAAAACAAUACUGGGUCUUUUAAUUUGCUCAAAAGCUUCAACAUGAUUUCAGACUGCAAAAAAUAUCAAACUAGUCCCUGUAUAUUAGAUUAAAGAACACAAUGGUCCUUUCUGUUAAAAAUGCCAUCCAUAUAUACUGUUAAAAAUUGGUAUGGUUGAUAGAAUAACUAGAUAGUGACAUGUGACAUGCCACAUGUAUUUUAUGCUGAUGUAUAGGGAUCGAUUUUUAAUAGAAAAAUGGAUGAAAUUGUUAACAGAAGAACCAAAUUACUCUUUGAUCUAAUAAAUAAGAAUUAAUUUACUAUUUUUUUAGUAAAUGAGGUAAAAUGCAAUCGACUCCUAAUAUAGAGGUCUCCAUGGCACUUUUACCGAUUUCAAAACAUAUCUUUUACUUGUUAUUAUCAUACCAUUUGUUGUAGUAAAAGUUUUUAAAAUUAUUUUUUAGAUUCUAAAUUAGCCACUAAACUUUAAAAAUGUUCUAAUUGAAUCAUCAAAAUAUUAAUAUUAUAUCAAUCAGGUUUUUUCGUUAACCUAAUAACUGAUUUAAGUCUUAUAUGUAGCAUUUUUAAAAUGUGUGGAUUAAAUUUUAACCAUGUAUGUACUUAUGGACAAUUUGGAUUUAACAUAUUAAAGAAAAACAAUGUUAUUAAAAAGAUAGUGUUACAUUUGAACUAACAUUUAAUGCCGAAGCUAAUGGUUAAACAAAUAGAAAGAUCUAAUUGUUACAAAACUAAUAAUUUAAAGUUUCAAUCAGAAUGUUUUGAAAUUUAGAGACUGAUAUCAAACUUUGAGUCAUCAUUUAAGGACUUAUGGUGAAAUUAACCCAAUCAUUAAAAUGAAAAAGAAGUGCCAAACCCUUUUUCUUUUUCUUUUUUUUCUGACAAGUCAUAUGAACAUAUCUGUUUUGGAUUUAGAGAGACAACAUUAUAUCAUAACCAAAAAUUCCCAUCAUGCCUACUCAACUAACGUUGUGCGUGGAUCACACAGAUCACUUCGCGCUUCUGCGGGGAGCCAGUGAACCCACCUCUCCUCUUACUCGGCAUAUGCGGGACCACUUUCUUCCUCAGCAUGUGGAUGCACAACGUGGCCUGCGCCGUCAUGAUGAUGCCCGUUGCCACCGGGAUCCUACAGCGCCUCCCGACGGGCCCCACCCAAUCCACCCACAUCCGCG